GUAUGCAGUAGCCACCGCGAUGCUGAUGCCCAAGAAGAACCGGAUUGCCAUUUAUGAACUCCUUUUUAAGGAGGGAGUGAUAGUGGCCAAAGAAGGAGUGCACAUGCCAAAGCACCCCAAGCUGGCGGACAAGAAUGUGCCUAAUCUUCACGUCAUGAAGGCCAUGCAGUCACUCAAGUCACGAGGCUACGUGAAGGAACAGUUUAUCUGGAGACAUUUCUGUUGGUACCUUACCAACGAGGGUAUCCAGUAUCUCCGUGAUUACCUCCACCUGCCCCCUGAGAUUGUGCCUGCCACCCUGCGCCGCAGCCGUCCUGAGACUGGCAGGCCAUGGCCCAAAGGUCUGGAGGGAGAGCGACCUGCGCGAGUCACACGAGGGGAAACCGACAGAGAAGCGCUGUGCCCCCUGGUGCUGACAAGAAAGCCAAAGCCAGAGCUGGGUCAGCAGUGGAGUUCCAAUUUAGAGGCGGCUUUGGUCGUGGACGUGUUCAUCCACCUCAGUAGAGUUGGAAGAGAUUGUUUUGUGUUGAAUAAACCUGUAGCCAG
Non-coding RNA from Sus scrofa (pig), 546 nucleotides. The record is from RefSeq and is a predicted model, not a curated record. Lineage: Eukaryota; Metazoa; Chordata; Mammalia; Artiodactyla; Suidae.